Molecule: long non-coding RNA, 1253 nt
Organism: Musa acuminata AAA Group (dessert banana)
Lineage: Eukaryota; Viridiplantae; Streptophyta; Magnoliopsida; Zingiberales; Musaceae
Exons: 3
Source: RefSeq, a predicted model, not a curated record
UAUUAUUGUAAGUAAUGUCAUGUUGGUUUGGGCUUGAAUAAUUUGUUCAUAUGGAACUUGAAUGGAAUGAUAAGGAGAAGGUAGGUACUUUCUCAUGUAUAUUUGCCACAUGGAUAUGAACUUGAACAUAGUCUUUGAACUUUCUAUGCUCCACAACGGCAGGAGCUUUGUGUACCAAACUUUUUUUUCGCCUUUUGUUAUGUUGACCAGUUUGGAACCUUUAUGCUCAGGAUUAUGAUAUCUGCUCUUUCAUUUCUUCUUGGUUAUGAAUGAGUCAAAGAAGAGGAUCACACUGGAGACUCAAGCAAUAGAGGUGAUGCACUAUUCAUCAGCCUGUUACUGUUAGCUGAGAGGUCAUUUACAAGGUCUUGCACACAUAAGUAGUUUUAAGUUUUAUUCUUUUGUAUAUAAUUGUCCUUACUAGUGUUUGAAUUUAUGGUUUUACAAUUAUGUAAAACUGCUGAUGUGUUUCCCAAUUUUUAGUAUGACAACGUAGACUUGCAGGAGUAGGAGCAGCUAGGGCAGUGAGGCAAACAGUUUCUGCGGAGGAAAGCAUGGUAGUGACAGAACACAGCUUAGUCUGUUGCAGAUGUGAAGAAAUGAAAGAAGAACUGGAUGUGGAGAGCUCAUCGACUGCAUUGUGUACAAUCCACUGCAUCUCAUUUGUAUCAGUCUUGGAAAAUAAUUCUAGUCAUAGCAGGCAAGCUUUUCAUUUUCAAAUAUUAAAUUCCAGUUAGACUGAAUUAUCUUUUCUGAAACACAAAUGUGAUCUAUGGAGAACCAGUCAUCUCCCCUUAUCAUCUGCCCCACCUCAUUGCAAUUGGAUGUCUUCUUUUCUACAGGAGAUCAACAAUUACUGCAAUCAUAUUCGUGUUUUGGCUCCAGAGAAGCUGGGUUGGUUGAUGUGUUCUUCAAUAGCUUGCAAUCAUCACCAUAUAAGAACCACACGGUUGAAGCCUAUCAAGCUUUGUCUCACAGGCGUUCCCCAGGUUGUUGCUACUUUCUAAUCUGGAAUCCUGCAGCAAUACCCAAUCCCAUUCUGUGAAAGGCUUCAAAGUCCUUGAAGAAACAAACCAUUCCUUCAGCUGUCCUCGAUCUAUGAACACCUCUUUCUGUGUACUUGCAUCAUGAUUUUGAAGCUUAUCACUUCUUUCCUUGUGACAAGAAGAAGAUGCUGCAGAUGAACUUACCACAUCUCUCUCUCUCUCUCUCUCUCUCUCUCUCUCUCUCAUAAAUAAAGAUCUGACUUGGUU